Molecule: ribosomal RNA, 407 nt
Filed under: uncultured bacterium
Lineage: Bacteria
Description: partial 16S ribosomal RNA
Rfam family: Bacterial small subunit ribosomal RNA
Source: RNAcentral
AUUGAACGCUGGCGGCAGGCCUAACACAUGCAAGUCGAGCGGAGCGGCGGACGGGUGCGUAAUACCUAGGCAUCUGCCUGGUAGUGGUGGGUAACGUCCGGAAACGGGCGCUAAUACCUCAUACUAGCAGUUGAGACUAGGUCGGUUUAGCUAGUUGGGGGGUGAAAGUCCUACCAAGGCGACGAUCCGUAACUGGUCUGAGAGGAUGAGCAGUCACACUGGAACGGAGACCAGGUCCAGACUCCUACGUGAGGCAGCGGUGGGGAAUAUUGGACAAUGGGCGAAAGCCUGAUCCAGCCAAGCCGCGUGUGUGAAGAAGGUCUUCGGGUUGUAAAGCACUUUAAGCGGGGAGGCGUUACCCGCAGAAGAAGCACCGGCUAACUCCGUGCCAGCAGCCGCGGUAAUUC